RNAcentral lists this long non-coding RNA (358 nucleotides) under Olea europaea (common olive). Its description in RNAcentral is "long non-coding RNA (OEUR_LNC010864)". Lineage: Eukaryota; Viridiplantae; Streptophyta; Magnoliopsida; Lamiales; Oleaceae. The record is from RNAcentral.
GAGAUUGUAGAGAGAGCCAUUUUUGCUCUGAAUUUGAAGUUGAAGACAGACAGAACAAGAAAUAAAAACAAGAGCACAGAAUCGGAUAUAUGUUUCUGCUGUAUUUCAACCACAUCUUUUGAAGAAGAUAAUAGGUUGGCACGUGCACACAGUGUUUCACUAAGCUACUUGGCGAUGAGUAACGUUCGGUGUACGGAAACCUCCUUACAGAAUUUUUACAGAUAUCCUAUAGAGGGUAGAUCCCGUAUGAAUAAAUAAUAUUAAAAAAUUCAGCCACCCACGCCGCCCUUGUGAGGUAUCUGUAGGAAUUCUGUGAACCCCUACAUUGUACACCAAUCAUCUUCCAUUUGGUUGUACC